This 305-nucleotide ribosomal RNA is filed under the name uncultured bacterium. Its description in RNAcentral is "bacterial SSU rRNA". It matches the Rfam family "Bacterial small subunit ribosomal RNA", at positions 337 to 659 of the family's 1533-position model. The record is from RNAcentral.
CCCUACGGGACGCAGCAGUGGGGAAUAUUGCACAAUGGGGGAAACCCUGAUGCAGCGACGCCGCGUGAGUGAAGAAGUAAUUCGUUACGUAAAGCUCUAUCAGCAGGGAAGAGAGUGACGGUACCUGAGUAAGAAGCCCCGGCUAACUACGUGCCAGCAGCCGCGGUAAUACGUAGGGGGCAAGCGUUAUCCGGAUUCACUGGGCGUAAAGGGAGCGCAGGCGGCGCGGCAAGUCUGAUGUGAAAGCCCGGGGCUCAACCCCGGGUCUGCAUUGGAAACUGUCGAGCUAGAGUGUCGGAGGGGUA